This 492-nucleotide ribosomal RNA is filed under the name uncultured bacterium. RNAcentral's name for it is "partial 16S ribosomal RNA". It matches the Rfam family "Bacterial small subunit ribosomal RNA", at positions 29 to 507 of the family's 1533-position model. The record is from RNAcentral.
AGUGAACGCUGGCGGUAGGCCUAACACAUGCAAGUCGAACGGCAGCACAGUAAGAUCUUGCUCUUACGGGUGGCGAGUGGCGGACGGGUGAGGCAUACAUCGGAAUCUACUUUUUCGUGGGGGAUAACGUAGGGAAACUUACGCUAAUACCGCAUACGACCUACGGGUGAAAGCAGGGGAUCUUCGGACCUUGCGCGAUUGAAUUAGCCGAUGUCGGAUUAGCUAGUUGGCGGGGUAACGGCCCACCAAGGCGACGAUCCGUAGCUGGUCUGAGAGGAUGAUCAGCCAAACUGGAACUGAGACACGGUCCAGACUCCUACGGGAGGCAGCAGUGGGGAAUAUUGGACAAUGGGCGCAAGCCUGAUCCAGCCAUGCCGCGUGGGUGAAGAAGGCCUUCGGGUUGUAAAGCCCCUUUGUUGGGAAAGAAAAGCAGCAGGUUAAUACCCCGCUGUUCUGACGGUACCCAAAGAAUAAGCACCGGCUAACUUCGUG